This 492-nucleotide ribosomal RNA is filed under the name uncultured bacterium. Its description in RNAcentral is "partial 16S ribosomal RNA". It matches the Rfam family "Bacterial small subunit ribosomal RNA", at positions 29 to 507 of the family's 1533-position model. The record is from RNAcentral.
AGUGAACGCUGGCGGUAGGCCUAACACAUGCAAGUCGAACGGCAGCAUAGUAAGAGCUUGCUCUUACGGGUGGCGAGUGGCGGACGGGUGAGGAAUACAUCGGAAUCUACUUUUUCGUGGGGGACAACGUAGGGAAACUUACGCUAAUACCGCAUACGACCUACGGGUGAAAUCAGGGGAUCUUCGGACCUUGCGCGACUGAAUGAGCCGAUGUCGGAUUAGCUAGUUGGCGGGGUAAAGGCACACCAAGGCGACGAUCCGUAGCUGGUCUGAGAGGAUGAUCAGCCACACUGGAACUGAGACACGGUCCAGACUCCUACGGGAGGCAGCAGUGGGGAAUAUUGGACAAUGGGCGCAAGCCUGAUCCAGCCAUACCGCGUGGGUGAAGAAGGCCUUCGGGUUGUAAAGCCCUUUUGUUGGGAAAGAAAAGCAGCAGGUUAAUACCCCGCUGUUCUGACGGUACCCAAAGAAUAAGCACCGGCUAACUUCGUG